AGAUGACAGGCAGCUUACUAGGAGAUGUUUCCAUCUCCAGACACGUUGGGAGGAGAUGCUUCUCUUUUUGUACGUGGGGAGUUGACACAGGGAAUGUAAUCACCCGAGACCCCCAGAUGGCCGGUGGCAGAGCAGGGGUGAAGCCCAGCUUUGCCGAUCUCCAAAGCCCCAGGCCCGUGUCCUUCCGCCGACGCUUCCCACAACUUCAAUCGCUCAGUUACAAGUCCUCGUGUUACACCCGAGAUGCCACUGAGGAGUCACGUCGUUCAAGAGGAGGAAGAGAGUAACUUGCCGCUCUGAAGCACAUAUGUUUCAGGUCCAGCUGUAUUCUCCUGCCACAGAACCAGUCCACCUGAACAGCGCUUCGCUUCCACAAAAGUAUUUGCACACACGUACGUUUCUCCUAUCUCCAAGUAAACUUACCACUUCGUGACAGAUACUCUUACCAUGUUUGUAGUCAUCUUCAAAAAUUGCUUCUGAAAAGGAGUUGUUCUGUUCCUGUGUUAGCAAGAGAUCAAAGCCACUUACUGUUCAUUAAAUGAAGCUCAGUUGUUGCAUUUUGUUUGUUUAUUUUAGUUUAAUACUGUAGGACAUAUCUGAAAAAAAUCUACCUGACUAGCUAUUCAUAGGCGCAAAUGCUAGAUAAUGCAACACCUUAUGAACAAAAGAUUGAAAUAACUGAAAAAGCAGUCCAAACAUGCAAAUGUAAGUUAAAUCCCUUAUUGCCUUGCCUGCCAAGUCUAUGUCAGUAGCAUAAAUGAAGGUCCAGCAGAAGAAAGGCCAGAGAAUUUGUUUUUAUUAAAACUAUCAAUGUUUAACAGUAGACAUUGGGGGUUGAUGCUGAAUCACUGCACUGUAACAUCCUCUAACCUAUUCAGAAGGCAGGUCCUCCUACUAAUAUAUUAAAGAAGAGAGGUUGUGUUAUGUCUC
Aquila chrysaetos chrysaetos is the source of this 930-nucleotide long non-coding RNA. RefSeq lists it as uncharacterized. NCBI's taxonomy places the organism in Eukaryota, Metazoa, Chordata, Aves, Accipitriformes, Accipitridae. The transcript is spliced from 2 exons. The record is from RefSeq and is a predicted model, not a curated record.